Molecule: RNA transcript, 1230 nt
Organism: Hyaena hyaena (striped hyena)
Lineage: Eukaryota; Metazoa; Chordata; Mammalia; Carnivora; Hyaenidae
Gene: ITGB3BP
Gene name: integrin subunit beta 3 binding protein
Exons: 11
Source: RefSeq, a predicted model, not a curated record
UUCCCUUCGGAGUUUGUCGGCUUUAGGAAGACGUUCGUCGGUUCCAUUAAUCCCGCCGUGGUACUUUCCUGAGUUUCGAAAUGCCUGUUAAGAGAUCACUGAAAUUGGAUCAUCUCUUAGAAGCAAAAUCAUUUGAUUCUUCAAAAACCACAAGGAAGAAAAGUAUUACAACUUACUCUCCAACAACGGGAACUUGUCAGAUGAGCCCAUUUGCCUCUCCUGCAAGCUUUAAAGAACAAGAGCACAAAAGUGAACCAUCAGAUGGAAAGAGGAAAAAAUUGAAUUGCCUCAGUUUAACUGAAAGGAAGGAAUCUACAACAAAAGACAAUGAUGAAUUCAUGGCAUUGCUAUCUAAAGUUGAAAAAUCAUCAGAAGAAAUCGUGGAAAUAAUGCGAAAUUUAAGGAGUAUACAGGCUUUGGAGGGCAGUAGAGAGCUUGGAAAGCUCAUUGGUAUCUCCCGUACGUCUUGUUUCUUCUUACAAAGAGAAAUGCAGAAAACGAAAGAACUAAUGACAAAAGUAACAAAACAAAAACUGUUUGAAAAGAAGAGCUCAGGACUUCCCAACAAAGAAUCAUAUCGUCGUGACAGCUAUGAAUUCCUUAAAGGCAUUUUAAACUGAGUUCCCUAUGGAUUUAGCAAUACAUUUAGAGGAAAUGCACUUACUAUGGACACCAACUUCUGCAUCUGCCUGAUCAUAUUUAAAGGAACAGAAGAAAUGUUUGUAAUUAAUCUGCCCAGUAAAUACCAGAUCAUAGCAUGAGGCAGUUAUUUAGAAGUUAGAACUUCCUCAUCAUUGAUUUAAAUCAACAUCCUGUGUUAAAACUAUGUAUGCUAUAACAAAAAAUAAAAAAAAUUGGACUACACCAGCCAGCCAAGAUGCUGACAUUUGGGCACAGUGAUUACAGAUGGUGACCAUGGACAGCGAUGUUCCUGCUGAUUCGGCAGUGAUUCAAGGCUGCUUUUCUGUGCUGACCUGCCCUUUGAGUCUUUAUGCACAUUUGCUUUGAAAAAGAAAUACUUCCUGAUUUUUGCUUUGUCUAAACCUACUUCCUUUAUCAGACUUAGAAGCACAUACCUUCUUGUAUCAGCCUGUGGCUGUCCAUGUCUAGAACCAAAUUUUCUUUGUAUAUAUGUGUUUGUUGUUUUAAAAUAUAUGACCACUUACUCAAUAUACUUUAAUGGCUGUCUUGUGAAAGAAAUAUAUUCAUUAAAAACAUACAUUGAUGUGA